Mauremys mutica (yellowpond turtle) is the source of this 2336-nucleotide long non-coding RNA. RefSeq lists it as uncharacterized. The record is from RefSeq and is a predicted model, not a curated record. Lineage: Eukaryota; Metazoa; Chordata; Testudines; Geoemydidae. The transcript is spliced from 5 exons.
UCCGACAGGAAGACAUUAGCAGAAGUCUCCAGAAGUUCUGACAAGACAGUAUAAAAGUCGGUGUGUCAGUGGGCAGCAGAGGGGUUAGAAGCUGACAGGAGCUGACAGUGAAGAAGCAGCCAGCAGCAGUAGGAGCCCUGCCCUGCCACUGGAACACAGAGACACAGACUGGGACAUGGAAGGAGAAGACAUCAAAGUCAGCAGAGAUACUAAUGAACAAGUACACUGUUGAGGGAACCAGUGCAAAUGGAGCUGUGUAAGAAAAUGCAAAGAAGAAAAAGUCUUUAUGCCUCAGUUUCCUGCUUGGAUUUGUAAUGAUCACCACCUUUAAAUCUUUACUGUGGUGUUCGUACACCCCAGCAGCAACAUUAGCUAAUGGUUUGCCUCACUUUUGAAGAAAUGGCACAGCACUCAGAAGGGUAGCUUCCUGAAAUCUUUGCUAGGAGAAACUCGGAGAGCCUAAGCCCAUCCACUGUACAGUGAAGUUGAGCUGGAAUAAACAGAACCUUACUGAGAGGAGACCCACCUGUACCCAGGAAAACAGGAGCAAGCUGAGAGUUUAUUUUAGAUUCCAGAGCAGUGUCUGCCUUUCUGGAGCAAAUGUCUUUCACCUUCUUGGUUAAGAAACAAAAAUGGCAUCAAGAUGUGGUAGCAAAGGUCACCUUUCUGAGUGUGGCUUUGAGUCAAGCAGGAAUCAAAUUGGAAAAGCAGAGAUGGUUGCUCUGAAAAGCGAGAAGAAUCCCAGUUGGAGACUGGUCAUCAUCCUGUCUCUCAGACUGAGCCAAGAGAACAAGCUACAUUCUGUGGUGCCACAGUAACAGGAUACCAACUUCUGAAGUACAGUCCAGCUGAAUAAAUACUGCUGAAAGUCAAUAACUAAAACUUCUCUACAAUAACCAUUUCUCUAGAAAUCUGACUGAAAUUUGAAUAUUUGCACUGACUUUUAAAGUUAUUAAAUGGGAAUAAAUACUUAAGAGAUGGUAUAGUAAUCUCGCCUUUUGUACAUCAACUACUGUUAUGGUAUUACCUUGGGCAGAAGACAAGGCACUAUAGUAAUACAAAUAAUAAAACCAAACCUGGUGCAUCACAAACCGCCUCAAAGAAACAGAAACAGAUUAACUUGGCCGGAAAAUUAUUAGAGAACACUUCAUUGUAGGUUUACAUUCUGAUCUGUAUUUGGACUAAAAAUCUGUUCAUGUUUCUAACUCCCUCUCAAUGUAGUUUUGAACCACUUUUUCAUAUGAGAAUCCACUCUUCAUGGAUCAGGAAUGAUGGUUGCUUACACUGUUCAGGUUGUGCAAACAAAGCUUUAUCAUUCUGAGUCUCAAAAGCAACAGCAAUCUUUUUACUGAAUCCUUUCCUUUCCAAUUGCAUAUGUAGGCUGUGAUCAUCAGAUCCUUUUAACUCUAGCCAGGAAAGAUUAAUAGCUAUCCCUACAGCUACUAUAUUGUGAAAUUUCUAGCUUGGAGCCUUUCCCCCCACCCCUCCUCCAGAAAAGAGAGAGAGCAAGAGAGACAUGCUGAAAUUUAACCCAGCAUGAUUUUUUUUCAACUGUUAACUCUUGUAAGCUCUUAAGGCUACAGUAAUACAUGAAAAGCAAAAUGAUGUCAUGUAUUAAAAGGGAAAAAUAUGGUGUUUCUGAACGAUAUUAGAAGCAACUCUGUCAUGCACUUCACAAGCUUGUGCCUCACUAACUCACAAUUUUAAGAGUUCACACCGAAGUAAAACAACAAAAAGAAAAGAUUAGAAAUAAAGUGUUAUUCUGCUGCAUUAUUAUCACAGAUACGGGGUGAACAGCUGAGGUAAAAAUGUAUGAACAUAAUUUUAUUUAUUAAGUAAUUACAAUUGCUAUAGUUUCUUGAAUGUUUAUCCAUGGGCCACAGAUGCCCUUGAAAUAACAAAGAUACACCUAAGUGUAGCAGUACAACUUCAGAUACCCCAGCUUUGGUUUUUGAAUGGCUCUAAGGUGUGGUCCAAACAGAGCACAGCACAGCAACCUAAGCUUGAGGUGACAAUUGGUGACAUUUACGAGGUCCAUAUCUGAAAGGAAUGCUCACAACCUCCUGGCUGUAUGUAAAGGAUAAAAAGCUCACCUGGUUUUCUUUCCAUUCAGGUAGUUUUACAUUUGGAACUUAUUGUACAUAAACAAGAUGAUCUGUGGUGAUUGUGGUUAUCAGCAUUACUUGAAUAUUGUUUUUGUUCGGCACAUAAAUAGUGUAUUUGAGAGUAAGGAGAAUGUUAAACAAAGACUUACCCCCUCCACCUCCAAGAAGACUGGAAUUAGCUAGGAAAAGCAAAAGGACAAUAAUUAGCAUUAAAUUAAAUAUGAAAUGAAA